RNAcentral lists this ribosomal RNA (253 nucleotides) under uncultured bacterium. RNAcentral's name for it is "partial 16S ribosomal RNA". It matches the Rfam family "Bacterial small subunit ribosomal RNA", at positions 524 to 776 of the family's 1533-position model. The record is from RNAcentral.
UACAGAGGUCCCAAGCGUUGUUCGGAUUCACUGGGCGUAAAGGGUGCGCAGGCGGCCGUGUGUGUGAGGCGUGAAAGCCUGGAGCUUAACUCCAGAAUUGCACCUCAAACUACACGGCUAGAGCAUUGGAGAGGGUAGCGGAAUUCACGGUGUAGCAGUGAAAUGCGUAGAUAUCGUGAGGAACACCAGAGGCGAAGGCGGCUACCUGGACAAUUGCUGACGCUCAGGCACGAAAGCGUGGGGAGCAAAAGGG